This 500-nucleotide ribosomal RNA is filed under the name uncultured bacterium. RNAcentral describes it as "partial 16S ribosomal RNA". It matches the Rfam family "Bacterial small subunit ribosomal RNA", at positions 30 to 523 of the family's 1533-position model. The record is from RNAcentral.
AUUGAACGCUGGCGGCAGGCCUAACACACGCAAGUCGAGCGGAUGAAAGGAGCUUGCUCCUCGAUUCAGCGGCGGACGGGUGAGUAAUGCCUAGGAAUCUGCCUAGUAGUGGGGGACAACGUUUCGAAAGGAACGCUAAUACCGCAUCCGUCCUCCGGGAGAAAGUGGGGGAUCUUCGGACCUCACGCUAUUAGAUGAGCCUAGGUCGGAUUAGCUAGUUGGUAGGGUAACGGCCUACCAAGGCGACGAUCCGUAACUGGUCUGAGAGGAUGAUCAGUCACACUGGAACUGAGACACGGUCCAGACUCCUACGGGAGGCAGCAGUGGGGAAUAUUGGACAAUGGGCGAAAGCCUGAUCCAGCCAUGCCGCGUGUGUGAAGAAGGCCUUCGGGUCGUAAAGCACUUUAAGUUGGGAGGAAGGGCUUACAGCGAAUACCUGUGAGUUUUGACGUUACCGACAGAAUAAGCACCGGCUAACUUCGUGCCAGCCGCCGCAGUAA